AAUAAAUUGUUUUAAUUUUUUUUUUAUUAAUUAAUAAAUUUAAUUAUAGUUUAAAAAUUAAUUGAAAAAUUUUUGUAUAUAUAAUUUUUAGAAAAAAUAUUAAAUGAAAAUAAUUUAGUAUAUAAAAUUAAUAAAUUUAAUUAAAGUUAAUUUUAGAAAUUUUUGUAAUUUAGAUAAAUAAUUGUGCCAGCAAUCGUGGUUAUACAAUUUAUGUAAAUUAAUUAAAUAAAAUUAAAAUUGAAAUAUAAAAUUAAAUAAUUAAUAUUAAAAUUAUUAGGUGAAAUUUAUAAAUUAAAAUUUAAUUAUAUAAUUAAUUAAUUGAGUUUUUUAAAAUUUUUAUAAAACUAGGAUUAGAUACCCUAUUAUAGAAUAAAAAGUAAAAAAUUUGAAUAGUAAAUGAUUAAUCAUUAAAUUUAAAUAAUUUGGCGGUAUUUUAAUUUUAUUAGAGGAACUUGUAAAUUAAAUUGAUAUUCCACGAUAAGAAUUACUUAAAUUAAAAUUUUUAUAUUGUUGUUUAAAAAGUAUUUUUAGAAAAAAUAUUUAAUUAUAUUUUAUUUAAUAAAAAUUCAGAUCAAAAUGAGGUGAAUAUUUAAGGUUUAGUGAGUUACAAUAAAUUUUAUUUAAUUAUGGAUUUAUAAUUUUAAUAUUAUAUUGAAGGUGGAUUUAAAAGUAAAAUCAAAUAAUUAUUUGAUUUGAUUAAAAUUUUAAGAUAUGUACAAAUUGCCCGUCGUUCUCUUUGAAAAAAGGGGUAAGUCGUAACAAAGUAAAAGUACUGGAAAGUGUUUUUAG
RNAcentral lists this non-coding RNA (789 nucleotides) under Chrysis obtusidens. The record is from RNAcentral. Lineage: Eukaryota; Metazoa; Arthropoda; Insecta; Hymenoptera; Chrysididae.